Molecule: long non-coding RNA, 356 nt
Organism: Poecilia latipinna (sailfin molly)
Lineage: Eukaryota; Metazoa; Chordata; Actinopteri; Cyprinodontiformes; Poeciliidae
Exons: 4
Source: RefSeq, a predicted model, not a curated record
GAUCUUCAGGAGAAUUGAGCAAAACCCAAACUCCUCGUUCUCAACGAAGACCUUCUGCAUGACCAAGAACAUGAGUCUGCUCCCUCAAGUCCUGCAGCUGCUGCCAGUACUCCUCCCUGCUCCACCUUACUAAUUUGGAAGAAGAGUUUCAGACCCAUCAACCUGGAAGUUCAGAUGUUUUCAUUGAUAUCCAGCCUAAGAUCUUUUGUAUGGCCAAGAAGAGAAAGGAGCGGCCAUCUUCUCAACAACAUGAACUUUCUCCCUUAAGACUGACAAGAUAAUGUAGCCCUGACGCUGCUGCCAGUUCUCCUCCCGGUUUCCACCUUACACACUUGGGAGAAGAGUUUCAGAUCCAU